RNAcentral lists this long non-coding RNA (743 nucleotides) under Hordeum vulgare. RNAcentral's name for it is "long non-coding RNA (HVUL_LNC006509)". The record is from RNAcentral. Lineage: Eukaryota; Viridiplantae; Streptophyta; Magnoliopsida; Poales; Poaceae.
GUAUGUGUUGUGUAAUGCAACAUAUCGUGCGAUAUUCACUCUGUACAAUGUUUCUGAAAUCUUGCGAAAGAGGAGACCCAAGGUUGGUGACAAAAAGAUGGACACUGUGUUCAUACUCGAACGUCAAAGAGAAGAAAAAAUAAUUAAAAGGAGGAUGACGAGGUGAUAUGGUGAUGGCCUGGUGCAUGGUGACGGAAGAUAGCCUCUGGAAACGCAAUAAUGCAAUGGCCCAUGCACUCAUUAAUCCACGUCUAUAUUGACAGGACUCGUCAUACACUGGCUUGGUCUACUGCUGUGACAAAACGCAAACUACAUAAAAUAAAACUAGAAAUAGCGAGGUAAGGCCAUGAUAACAAGAAAAGAAAAGGACAAAUCUGGGGUGCGUUCCAAUUAUAGCGCUUCAAUUAUUGUCCACAGCCGUCCUGCCUAACUUGCGUUGGCUCUAGCUAACUGGGAUCAGAUCACUGCUGAUCAAACGUCACCCAAAGUUAAUAGAGUUCAUCGGAACGCACACACAAGAUAGGGCUCCGAGACUGCGUAGACGAAGAUCACCUUACCCUAGCCUGAUUAGAUGACACGCAAAUCUACUCCCUGGCGCAACAGCUAUCAAAAUCCCAUAGCUGCCGAGCCGUCGAGGAGAAUAUCUUCUUACUUUUCAUUGGGGUCAGUACUCCGGGAAGAUUCAGUGGUCACCGGAGGAGAUUCCGAGUCAUGCAUAUGCAUUGGUUUCCAUCUUUCCAUCC